UACCCAGACUCCUACGGGAGGCAGCAGUGGGGGAUAUUGCACAAUGGGGGGAACCCUGAUGCAGCGACGCCGCGUGGGUGAAGGAGCGUUUCGGCGCGUAAAGCCCUAUCGGCAGGGAGGAAGAUGACGGUACCUGACCAAGAAGCCCCGGCUAACUACGUGCCAGCAGCCGCGGUAAUACGUAGGGGGCAAGCGUUAUCCGGAUUUACUGGGUGUAAAGGGGGCGCAGACGGCAAUGCAAGCCAGGAGUGAAAGCCCGGGGCCCAACCCCGGGACUGCUCUUGGAACUGCGUGGCUAGAGUGCAGGAGGGGCAGGCGGAAUUCCUGGUGUAGCGGUGAAAUGCGUAGAUAUCAGGAGGAACACCGGUGGCGAAGGCGGCCUGCUGGACUGCAACUGACGUUGAGGCCCGAAAGCGUGGGUAGCAAACAGGAUUAGAUACCCCCGUAGGC
Molecule: ribosomal RNA, 450 nt
Filed under: uncultured bacterium
Lineage: Bacteria
Description: partial 16S ribosomal RNA
Rfam family: Bacterial small subunit ribosomal RNA
Source: RNAcentral